AUUGAACGCUGGCGGCAGGCUUAACACAUGCAAGUCGAGCGGAGAUGAAGUGCUUGCACCUUAUCUUAGCGGCGGACGGGUGAGUAAUGCUUAGGAAUCUGCCUAUUAGUGGGGGACAACAUUCCGAAAGGAAUGCUAAUACCGCAUACGUCCUACGGGAGAAAGCAGGGGAUCUUCGGACCUUGCGCUAAUAGAUGAGCCUAAGUCGGAUUAGCUAGUUGGUGGGGUAAAGGCCUACCAAGGCGACGAUCUGUAGCGGGUGUGAGAGGAUGAGCCGCCACACUGGGACUGAGACACGACCCAGACUCCGACGGGAGGCAGCAGUGGGGAAUAUUGGACAAUGGGGGGAACCCUGAUCCAGCCAUGCCGCGUGUGUGAAGAAGGCCUUAUGGUUGUAAAGCACUUUAAGCGAGGAGGAGGCUACUGAGACUAAUACUCUUGGAUAGUGGACGUUACUCGCAGAAUAAGCACCGGCUAACUCUGUGCCAGCCGCCGCGGUAA
This 501-nucleotide ribosomal RNA is filed under the name uncultured bacterium. RNAcentral describes it as "partial 16S ribosomal RNA". It matches the Rfam family "Bacterial small subunit ribosomal RNA", at positions 30 to 523 of the family's 1533-position model. The record is from RNAcentral.